UACGGAGGAUGCGAGCGUUAUCCGGACUUAUUGGGUUUAAAGGGUGCGUAGGCGGAUCGUUAAGUCAGUGGUCAAAUUGAGGGGCUCAACCCCUUCCCGCCAUUGAAACUGGCGAUCUUGAGUGGAAGAGAAGUAUGCGGAAUGCGUGGUGUAGCGGUGAAAUGCAUAGAUAUCACGCAGAACCCCGAUUGCGAAGGCAGCAUGCCGGCUUCCUACUGACGCUGAAGCACGAAAGCGUGGGGAUCGAACAGG
Molecule: ribosomal RNA, 252 nt
Filed under: uncultured bacterium
Lineage: Bacteria
Description: partial 16S ribosomal RNA
Rfam family: Bacterial small subunit ribosomal RNA
Source: RNAcentral